This 252-nucleotide ribosomal RNA is filed under the name uncultured bacterium. RNAcentral's name for it is "partial 16S ribosomal RNA". It matches the Rfam family "Bacterial small subunit ribosomal RNA", at positions 524 to 776 of the family's 1533-position model. The record is from RNAcentral.
UACGUAGGGGGCUAGCGUUAUCCGGAAUUACUGGGCGUAAAGGGUGCGUAGGUGGUUUCUUAAGUCAGAGGUGAGAGGCUACGGCUCAACCGUAGUAAGCCUUUGAAGCUGGGGAACUUGAGUGCAGGAGAGGAGAGUGGAAUUCCUAGUGUAGCGGUGAAAUGCGUAGAUAUUAGGAGGAACACCAGUUGCGAAGGCGGCUCUCUGGACUGUAACUGACACUGAGGCACGAAAGCGUGGGGAGCAAACAGG